This 77-nucleotide transfer RNA is filed under the name Escherichia coli. RNAcentral describes it as "tRNA-Met". It matches the Rfam family "tRNA". Rfam says of the family: Transfer RNA (tRNA) molecules are approximately 80 nucleotides in length. Their secondary structure includes four short double-helical elements and three loops (D, anti-codon, and T loops). The record is from RNAcentral. RNAcentral also lists the same sequence under 6 other names. Lineage: Bacteria; Pseudomonadati; Pseudomonadota; Gammaproteobacteria; Enterobacterales; Enterobacteriaceae.
CGCAGGGUGGAGCAGCCUGGUAGCUCGUCGGGCUCAUAACCCGAAGGUCGUCGGUUCAAAUCCGGCCCCCGCAACCA